Theobroma cacao (cacao) is the source of this 824-nucleotide non-coding RNA. NCBI's taxonomy places the organism in Eukaryota, Viridiplantae, Streptophyta, Magnoliopsida, Malvales, Malvaceae. The record is from RefSeq and is a predicted model, not a curated record.
AAGUCUCACUCUCACAUUUCUAUGAAGGACUUUCAAGUAGAAAACAUGCUUGUCUCAGUUGAGGAUUUCACAAUUAUCAAAUGUUCUGAAAGAAAUUAGGAGAUAAUUAGGAGAUUUAAAAUAUCUCAACUCUCAAUUUGCCAUGGCUUUCUCAUAACUUAUGAUGGUUGGUAUGUGCUUUGAAAGAUUUCAUUUUAGAUAUAUAUAAGGUGAUCAGAGGAACUAUCAUGUUGUGCAUAGAAGCCUAGUGCUUUAGGAGUCAAUCUAUGUUUUCCACUCUCUUGCACUUAAGGUUGUUGCAUUCACUGGUUAAAUGGUUUAAAUCAGCCAAAACAAGGUUUGCACAAAGGGAGGCAAAUGGAUCUUUCUUGCAGGUGCCUUCAAGCUAUAGUUGACCUCUUCUCUAGUCACAGGUACACCAUCUGCUUCCAAAAGGCAAAGACGAGUGCAUCAGAGAUUGUAAAGCAGACUUUUCCCUGGCACAAGCAAGCAGUAUUGAUAGUUGACUCUGCAUAGCAUAAUUGAAUGAUUAAUUCUGCUUCCUGUUACUCAAAGCAUAUUUUGCUUACUGUGUCAAUGUUGACAGGAAAAUGACAUGCCGCGGCGACUUGGUUAUAAAGCAAUGUUUUUGACAUUACCUUCAUCUCAAUUAUUCAGAAAGUUAAGAUUCUUCAACUCAUGAAUUGUGAUGAAGUCAUUCAUAUCAAGUUUCCUAUUGCUGGUGCAAAUCUGUUGCAUAGUCACACUCUGUGGCAACUUGUCGAUGCAUGGAAAUCUGUGGCGUGAUGCAAUCUGUUUUGAGUUAUAAAAUUUUAGAUUCUUCA